UAAAAACCCCGACUUCGGAAGGGGUGUAUUUAUUAGAUACAAAACCAAUGCCCUUCGGGGCUCUUUGGUGAUUCAUGAUAACUAUACGAAUCGCACGGCCUUGCGCCGGCGAUGGUUCAUUCAAAUUUCUUCCCUAUCAACUUUCGAUGUUUGGGUAUUGGCCAAACAUGGUUGCAACGGGUAACGGAGGGUUAGGGCUCGACCCCGGAGAAGGAGCCUGGGAAACGGCUACUACAUCCAAGGAAGGCAGCAGGCGCGCAAAUUACCCAAUCCCGACUCGGGGAGGUAGUGACAAUAAAUACUGAUACAGGGCCCUUUCGGGCCUUGUAAUUGGAAUGAGUACAAUUUAAAUCCCUUAACGAGGAACAAUUGGAGGGCAAGUCUGGUGCCAGCAGCCGCGGUAAUUCCAGCUCCAAUAGCGUAUAUUAAAGUUGUUGUGGUUAAAAAGCUCGUAGUUGAACCUUGGGCCUGGCUGGCCGGUCCGCCUCACCGCGUGCACUGGUCCGGCCGGGCCUUUCCCUCUGUGGAACCCCAUACCCUUCACUGGGCGUGGCGGGGAAACAGGACAUUUACUUU
This 576-nucleotide ribosomal RNA is filed under the name uncultured eukaryote. Its description in RNAcentral is "SSU rRNA". It matches the Rfam family "Eukaryotic small subunit ribosomal RNA", at positions 174 to 758 of the family's 1831-position model. The record is from RNAcentral.